AACUGAACAAAUUGGAGAUGGGAGUUUUAAGUCUCCAUCUAAAUUGAUAAGAAAUCAUGAAUUCAAUAUGGGAAUUUACAAUCACUCAACAGCGCUAGCGAUUGAAUUACCACGCAAUAUAAAUCAAUAUUUAGGCUCACGCUUUGAAAGUUGUUUCAAUGUUUAUCAUCAGACAAUUCAUUAUUUACAGGUAUUCAUCUUCUUCGGUCCUGAAAAAAAGCCUAUGUGCCGAAGUUUAAGCCUAAUGGAGCGUUUCAAUGGAGCAGUUAUUUGAAAGAAGGCCCUUAUGACACCUUGAACCCUGUACAUAAACCCCAUGUCUGUGGUGAUGACACAGUUCCAUGGCUGAUGCAGAUUAUACCUGCUCACUUGGGGAUGUUUAUGGAAGCAUGAUGGACUUCGUGUCAUACGGGGACCAAGACAUGCAGAUGAUCUACAUGGGAGCAUUUUUUCUGGAUUUUCAGAGGUUUUCAUGUGUGAGGAGGAUGGCUGUGCUCUGCACCACGAAGAAGAUGUCAUGCUGAGGAUGGGUUUCUGCACUGAUAUUGUUGGUGUGAUGUAGCGGCGGCUCUCUCACUGUGUCUCUGUUGGCCAUGAUGCGUAACCAUAGAGAGUGAGUGACAGCCUGGUCCCCACACAGCAUAGGGGGCCUGAGAACCACAGACUCCUUUCAGAAGCAGUGAGGACUGACCAGUCUGCAAGCGAGACACUGGCCUUUCUCCCAUCAUGCCAGUCACUGACUGUUCUAGGCGUUGCGUUCAAAGACUAGUGGCAGAAGUAUGGAAAUGCAGAUAAAGCAUUGUAACAAAUGAAAGAGAAAAAAAAGGUUAAAUGCCUGGAAAUGGUCACCAUCCACCACUUGUACCACCGCCUCGUGCAUUAUCUUUUGUUUUGAACGUUUUGCCAACAUUUUCAGUUGUUGACGGAUCUGUAGAGUGGAAGUAUCUAUCUACACACGUUUUUGUUUCUUUGAAUUUAAGACGUUAUUAACAAUGACCUGUCACAGUUUGCUGAUGAUAGGCCCAAAUGUACUCUUUCAGAUAAACAUUCUACAUAGUUUGUUAGAUAUGGAAUCAUACAACUGCCAUGUAAUGUUUACGAGAAAAGUCCACUGGCUGUUUUGGUUAUAUUCUGAUGAUUGAUUGAGUUGAACCAGUCAUAGGCUGGCUCAUUUUCAUUACAAAUGGUUAAUAUCCAUGGGAUAUAACGCCCACCUGAGUAGUAUGUGAGCUAAUAUGGAAAUGUAGCAACAUUUAUCUCAAAUGAUAUCCAAUACAUUUGAUCCAUCUUUAUUUUGUAAUAAAUGUUUUGUCAAAGUUAUAAGAAAAAAUAUUAUUCACCAUUUUGUGUAAUGUUGUGAUUAUCCUUAUCAUAAUAAAAAUA
This is a long non-coding RNA of Coregonus clupeaformis (lake whitefish), 1383 nucleotides long. RefSeq lists it as uncharacterized. The record is from RefSeq and is a predicted model, not a curated record. The transcript has 6 exons. NCBI's taxonomy places the organism in Eukaryota, Metazoa, Chordata, Actinopteri, Salmoniformes, Salmonidae.